Molecule: small RNA, 28 nt
Filed under: Bombyx mori (domestic silkworm)
Lineage: Eukaryota; Metazoa; Arthropoda; Insecta; Lepidoptera; Bombycidae
Description: ovarian small RNA-37284
Source: RNAcentral
UUCCUAUUAGGUUAGUGCCAUUGUCUGA